RNAcentral lists this transfer RNA (73 nucleotides) under Bos taurus (domestic cattle). It matches the Rfam family "tRNA". Rfam says of the family: Transfer RNA (tRNA) molecules are approximately 80 nucleotides in length. Their secondary structure includes four short double-helical elements and three loops (D, anti-codon, and T loops). RNAcentral also lists the same sequence under 4 other names. The record is from Rfam by way of RNAcentral. Lineage: Eukaryota; Metazoa; Chordata; Mammalia; Artiodactyla; Bovidae.
UCCCUGGUGGUCCAGUGGUAAAGACUCAGUGCUUUCACUGCCACAGGCCCAGGUUCAAUCCCUGGUCAGAGAA